GACGAACGCUGGCGGCGUGCUUAACACAUGCAAGUCGAACGGAAAGGCCCUGCUUUUGUGGGGUGCUCGAGUGGCGAACGGGUGAGUAACACGUGAGUAACCUGCCCUUGACUUUGGGAUAACUUCAGGAAACUGGGGCUAAUACCGGAUAGGAGCUCCUGCUGCAUGGUGGGGGUUGGAAAUUUUCGGCGGUUGGGGAUGGACUCGCGGCUUAUCAGCUUGUUGGUGGGGUAGUGGCUUACCAAGGCUUUGACGGGUAGCCGGCCUGUGAGGGUGACCGGCCACAAGGGGACUGAGAUACGGCCCAGACUGCUACGGGAGGCAGCAGUGGGGAAUAUGGCACAAUGAGAGGAAGCCUGAGGCAGCAACGCCGCGUGCGGGAUGCCGGCCUUCGGGUUGUAAACCGCUUUAGCCUGUGACGAAGCGUGAGUGACGGUAAUGGGUAAAGAAGCACCGGCUAACUACGUG
RNAcentral lists this ribosomal RNA (468 nucleotides) under uncultured bacterium. RNAcentral's name for it is "partial 16S ribosomal RNA". It matches the Rfam family "Bacterial small subunit ribosomal RNA", at positions 28 to 507 of the family's 1533-position model. The record is from RNAcentral.